This 295-nucleotide signal recognition particle RNA is filed under the name Propithecus coquereli (Coquerel's sifaka). RNAcentral's name for it is "Metazoan signal recognition particle RNA (ENSPCOG00000009410.1)". It matches the Rfam family "Metazoan signal recognition particle RNA". From Rfam's summary of the family: The signal recognition particle (SRP) is a universally conserved ribonucleoprotein. It is involved in the co-translational targeting of proteins to membranes. The record is from Rfam by way of RNAcentral. Lineage: Eukaryota; Metazoa; Chordata; Mammalia; Primates; Indriidae.
GCUGUGUGCUGUGGCCCACACCUGUAGUCCCAGCUACUCAGGAGGCUGAGGCCGGAGGAUCCCUUGAGCCCAGGAGUUCUGGGCUGUAGUGUGCUCUGCCAACUGGGUGUCUGCACUAAGCUCGGCAUCAAUAUGGUGACCUCCCAGGAGUGAGAGACUGCUGGGUUGCCUAAGGAGGGGCGAACUGGCCCAGGUCAGAAACAGAGCAGGUCAAAACUCCAGUGCUGAUCAGUAGUGGGAUCACACCUGUGAGUAGCCACUGCUCUCCAGCCUGAGCAACAUAGCCAGACCCCAU